Molecule: ribosomal RNA, 261 nt
Filed under: uncultured archaeon
Lineage: Archaea
Description: partial 16S ribosomal RNA
Rfam family: Archaeal small subunit ribosomal RNA
Source: RNAcentral
UAGCCGUAAACGAUACUCGCUAGGUGUCGGCCACGGUGCGACCGUUGUCGGUGCCGUAGGGAAGCCGUGAAGCGAGCCACCUGGGAAGUACGGCCGCAAGGCUGAAACUUAAAGGAAUUGGCGGGGGGAGCACCACAACGCGUGGAGCCUGCGGUUUAAUGGAUUCAACGCCGGAAAUCUUACCGGGACCGACAGCAACAUGAAGGCCAAGCUGAAGACUUUGCCGGAUUAGCUGAGAGGAGGUGCAUGGCGUAGUCGUGU